UACGUAGGUGGCAAGCGUUGUCCGGAUUUAUUGGGCUUAAAGGGCGCGUAGGCGGUUGAUUAAGUCAGUUGUGAAAUACGGCAGCUUAACUGUCGAGGUGCAAUUGAUACUGGUUGACUUGAGUACAGACGAGGUAGGCGGAAUUAACGGUGUAGCGGUGAAAUGCAUAGAUAUCGUCAAGAACACCGAUAGCGAAGGCAGCUUACUAGACUGUAACUGACGCUGAGGCACGAAAGUGUGGGGAUCAAACAGG
RNAcentral lists this ribosomal RNA (253 nucleotides) under uncultured bacterium. RNAcentral describes it as "partial 16S ribosomal RNA". It matches the Rfam family "Bacterial small subunit ribosomal RNA", at positions 524 to 776 of the family's 1533-position model. The record is from RNAcentral.